This 201-nucleotide long non-coding RNA is filed under the name Elaeis guineensis (African oil palm). RNAcentral's name for it is "long non-coding RNA (EGUI_LNC036372)". The record is from RNAcentral. Lineage: Eukaryota; Viridiplantae; Streptophyta; Magnoliopsida; Arecales; Arecaceae.
ACCUUCUGAAUGGUAGCCGAGAAGCCUAGGCAUAAGAGGGCAUCGGUUGCCUCCUGAAUCAUCAUAAGAGCUUUAUAGCUCUUCAAGUGAUCGACGGUGUCGGUGGAGCCGUCAUAAGGCUCCAUUUGUGACAUCUUGAACUAACUUGGGAUCGGCUAGUCCAAGAUGCAUUGAGAGAAAGGUGGAGAAGUGUAGAUGCCA